Long non-coding RNA from Carassius gibelio (silver crucian carp), 533 nucleotides. RefSeq lists it as uncharacterized. The record is from RefSeq and is a predicted model, not a curated record. The transcript has 4 exons. NCBI's taxonomy places the organism in Eukaryota, Metazoa, Chordata, Actinopteri, Cypriniformes, Cyprinidae.
AGGCAAAUAUAAUGAUAAGGAUGAUGAUGAAGAGGAGGAGAAUCAGGAAACCUCUUCAAGCAAGAUCUUCAAUGACCCCAUUCAUGGUCAGAUUGAGCUGCACCCCCUGCUGGUGAAGAUCAUUGACACUCCUCAGUUUCAGAGACUCAGACACAUCAAACAGCUGGGAGGAACAUAUCUGGUGUAUCCUGGAGCCACUCACACUCGCUUCGAACACUCAAUUGGGGCUGCAUAUUUAGCAGGAUGUCUGGCAGAAGUUCUGAGAGAGAAACAACUGAAGGAGUUUGAAAAGAACCAAGAGGAACAGGGCAAAUUAAUUGAUGAGAAAGACAUCCUUUGUGUCCAAAUUGCAGCUCUGUGCUAUAAUUUAGGUCAUGGUCCAUUCUCUUACCUGUUUAAGGACAGGUUCAUCCCUAAAGUCUGUCCUAGUAAGUGCCUGAUCUUCUCACUUUACUGAUGUCAAUGUAUCUGGUCAAAAUGAGAAUCAGAAAAAGCUUUAUUGUCAAGUAUGCUUGCGCAUACAAGGAAUUUGU